RNAcentral lists this ribosomal RNA (497 nucleotides) under uncultured bacterium. Its description in RNAcentral is "partial 16S ribosomal RNA". It matches the Rfam family "Bacterial small subunit ribosomal RNA", at positions 28 to 507 of the family's 1533-position model. The record is from RNAcentral.
GAUGAACGCUGGCGGCGUGCCUAAUACAUGCAAGUCGAGCGAACAGACGAGGAGCUUGCUCCUCUGACGUUAGCGGCGGACGGGUGAGUAACACGUGGAUAACCUACCUAUAAGACUGGGAUAACUUCGGGAAACCGGAGCUAAUACCGGAUAACAUGUUGAACCGCAUGGUUCAACAGUGAAAGACGGUCUUGCUGUCACUUAUAGAUGGAUCCGCGCCGCAUUAGCUAGUUGGUAAGGUAACGGCUUACCAAGGCAACGAUGCGUAGCCGACCUGAGAGGCGGAUCGGCCACACUGGAACUGAGACACGGUCCAGACUCCUACGGGAGGCAGCAGUAGGGAAUCGUCCGCAAUGGGCGGAAGCCUGACGGAGCAACGCCGCGUGAGUGAAGAAGGUCUUCGGAUCGUAAAACUCUGUUAUUAGGGAAGAACAAAUGUGUAAGUAACUGUGCACGUCUUGACGGUACCUAAUCAGAAAGCCACGGCUAACUACGUG